AGGUGCGCACCGUCACGCAUCAGACCU
This 27-nucleotide ribosomal RNA is filed under the name Dicranum viride. RNAcentral's name for it is "partial 26S ribosomal RNA". The record is from RNAcentral. Lineage: Eukaryota; Viridiplantae; Streptophyta; Bryopsida; Dicranales; Dicranaceae.